CAGGUCCUAUGGAGGAGGAAGCAGAGACUCUGCUCUCCUCGUUUGGAUUAAUUCUGAUAUAAUAACUGUUGGUUUAUUUAUCGGUGCAGCAGCAGAACAUUUUCCAUAGACAGUUUUCCUGCCCGUUGGCUUGUUUUAACCAGUUUUCUGUCUUCGGCUGAUUCUACCAGCAGACACUGAAAGGACUCUGAUAGUUCGAGUGAAAGUAGCAGUUCCUCCUGAAGGUCAGAGAUUGCAGCAUCUGAGGGCCUCUUCAAAAGAAGAUGUAGCUGAUGAAGGUAUUCUGGAGCAGGACCAGAAAGACCACGACCAAGCAGCCUUGAGAUCUUAGGCAGCAUCUCCCUCAGGUCCCUCUCUAUCUCCUCACACAUCCACCAACCACUGGAACACAUCUCCAAAGUUCUGCCGGGCCAGCUCAGCUUCCCCUCAGAAGAAGUGGCGCCACCUGCCAGAUGAAGGAGCCUUUUGAGAGGCAGCUGGCAUCGUGAUUGGACUGUACUUUGGUCUGUUCCAAUCCAGCUUCAGCUCCAGAGACGGCAGGCGCGACGAGUCAACGGAGGCCUGGUGGACGAAGGCAUGCAGCUGAGUACAAUCCAGAAAACAACAGAGGAGGAGUGCAGCAGCCCAGAGCCAGAACAACCAGAGUAGCAUCAUAUGUCUCUUAGAAAACAUCAUAGUAGAGCCUUUGGUAUGAAAAAACACCAUCAUAUACAUCGGAUAUUGUACAAAUAAAAAGUCAAAGGAAAGAGACAUACAUUGUAGAAUUGUAGUAAUUGUGGGCUGACUGAUUUACUGAUUAUCAGUAUUUUAUUUUUUACUGAUUUACGGUAAUAAAUACAUUUAAAAAUGGCGCUACUUUGGCUCUGAACCUUUAUCU
This is a long non-coding RNA of Amphiprion ocellaris (clown anemonefish), 877 nucleotides long. Lineage: Eukaryota; Metazoa; Chordata; Actinopteri; Pomacentridae. The record is from Ensembl.